This 466-nucleotide ribosomal RNA is filed under the name uncultured prokaryote. RNAcentral describes it as "partial 16S ribosomal RNA". The record is from RNAcentral.
CCCUACGGGGCGCCUCAAACACCUUUUCGAGGGUUUCCCUCUGGUUUUCAGAGGCGGUAUCUUUUAGAAUGCCUACGCGAUUCUCCAGCCUAUCAAGCCUCAGCACGGUUUCUUUUUGACUUGAUUCUGAUUUCGAUGACAACACUUGAAUUGCUUCUAUUAGCGCGCCGAGCCCGUUGUGAAUGUUUUUAACCCAAGGGAACUCCGUUUCCGGGGCGCGUUUCCGACCACAUAUCGCUCCAAUCACACGCUGGGUAAACUGGCGGACAACCCAAACGGCGUCCCCGGACGGGGGCUCCGCAACGAUGUAGGGAUAGCGGCUGCUGAAGCCCGAUUUCGCAAAAUGCAGAAGGGCGCGGGGCGGCCCCCCGAACGGCCAUGUCUCCUUCUCGAUUGUGCAACGGGUCUUGUGCCGUCCGAUCAAGGCAAAAAACGGAACGGCCAAAAACGCAAUUGGCGGGGGAGC